GGCGAGUGGCGAACGGGUGAGUAAUAUAUCGGAACGUACCCAAGAGUGGGGGAUAAACGUAGCGAAAGUUACGCUAAUACCGCAUACGAUCUAAGGAUGAAAGCAGGGGACCGCAAGGCCUUGUGCUCCUGGAGCGGCCGAUAUCUGAUUAGCUAGUUGGUGAGGUAAAGGCUCACCAAGGCGACGAUCAGUAGCUGGUCUGAGAGGACGACCAGCCACACUGGAACUGAGACACGGUCCAGACUCCUACGGGAGGCAGCAGUGGGGAAUUUUGGACAAUGGGCGCAAGCCUGAUCCAGCAAUGCCGCGUGAGUGAA
This 317-nucleotide ribosomal RNA is filed under the name uncultured Duganella sp. RNAcentral describes it as "bacterial SSU rRNA". It matches the Rfam family "Bacterial small subunit ribosomal RNA", at positions 90 to 409 of the family's 1533-position model. Lineage: Bacteria; Pseudomonadati; Pseudomonadota; Betaproteobacteria; Burkholderiales; Oxalobacteraceae. The record is from RNAcentral.